This 483-nucleotide ribosomal RNA is filed under the name uncultured bacterium. RNAcentral's name for it is "partial 16S ribosomal RNA". It matches the Rfam family "Bacterial small subunit ribosomal RNA", at positions 28 to 507 of the family's 1533-position model. The record is from RNAcentral.
GACGAACGCUGGCGGCGUGCUUAACACAUGCAAGUCGAACGCUGAAGCUCAGCUUUUGUUGGGUGGAUGAGUGGCGAACGGGUGAGUAACACGUGAGUAACCUGCCUCCUUCUUUGGGAUAACGCCCGGAAACGGGUGCUAAUACUGGAUAUUCACUGGUCUUCGCAUGGGGGUUGGUGGAAAGGGUUUUUCUGGUGGGGGAUGGGCUCGCGGCCUAUCAGCUUGUUGGUGGGGUGAUGGCCUACCAAGGCUUUGACGGGUAGCCGGCCUGAGAGGGUGAACGGUCACAUUGAGACUGAGAUACGGCCCAGACUACUACGGGAGGCAGCAGUGGGGAAUAUUGCACAAUGGGCGAAAGCCUGAUGCAGCGACGCCGCGUGAGGGAUGGAGGCCUUCGGGUUGUGAACCUCUUUCGCUCAUGGUCAAGCCGCAACAAUGGUUGUGGUGAGGGUAGUGGGUAAAGAAGCGCCGGCUAACUACGUG